CACGCCCACAUCUCGAAAUCCAAUGAAAAACUAAUGCACAGAACCAAGACCUCACCCUACAUUUUCACUUGCAUGUGCAUCACAAUAUGGAAAAGAUCUGUCACUUCCAGUUCUAUGCUACUUUUUUGGACGUUCAGUGUAUGGUGAAAUGCCUUGAUCCACUGAGUAGUAGUUUAGUUGUAAAAGGACAGUUAAACAUCUACAGCUGGAUUCCAACAGCGCCCUGGAAUGGACACUCUUCUUGUGUCUCCUAAUGAGCAAAUAUCCACCUCUGACCUGCCUGUCACUGUGAGACCAGUCUGCAGGCCUGGAUACCCAGAUAAGCAGACAGGUCCAUUCUUCUAUUUUAGAACCAAGUGGAGGUUUGGUAGACGGACUGGUAUUUCCUGCUAUUGUCUGAAAGACGUGUCAGUGUGGACACAUGCAAUGGACUCAUGAAGGACAGUGGCACACUAGUCCCCUCUUAUUUUGAGUGGUUUAUAGCAACUGGUCUUUCCUUGCCUACUAAGAUCUUUCAGUUUUUCUUCAGUUUAAGCUGUUAAAUGUAUUUUUAUUUCACAUUUAAUGGAUUAUGUGAGUGGCGUGCAACAGUUUACAGUGUGUGGGUACCGCUGGCACUCACUGUUUCUUUCUUUAUUUGUUUAUAUGCCUAAGACCAGGCAGCAGAGCGUUAAUUAGAAGUGGAAUGUGGGAAUUUCAUCAAACAAUUCCUCCCGUCACGAGGUGGCAACUCACACAUACAUAAAAUGAAUAGGGAGUUUUGUUUUCCAUUGUGUUGUCAAGUUGUUGGUGACUUGUUUAAGUUACUCGUCCAAAGCAUUGUGGUAUUAUUGACCAGAUCUUUUUCCUUGAUCAGUUGCUAACAGUGUGCUCUUCUUCAAUAAAUGUGUGUCUCUGCAGGAACAAAGGAAAAGUGGGAACUGUACCAUGUUUAAGGGAGUGCUGAAGAAAGGGCGAGAGGGAGGAGGUAGAACUGGCAAAAGAGACGCAGGAAGUCAAUCCCUCAGCCCCAGUUUCCAUCACAGAGUUCAGGAAGAGGAGAUUGUGGGUGUUCAGAAUCAUGGGAGUGGGCCGCUGCCAGUACAGCCGUACCCUGCAGAGGAGAUGCUGAGGCCGAGUUUGACCAGAGGAGUGUCUGUCUCCCUCCCUUCCUCCCCGCUUCUCCCUCCCCGCCAACCCUAUCUUUCUCCUGUCCGGUCCAACAAGUCACCAGGUACAUAACAGUCACUUUUUAAAUGUACUUACUAGGAGUGUGCGAUAUUGACAGUUUGAAUAAAUGCUGAACUCAUUCAUACA
Molecule: long non-coding RNA, 1296 nt
Organism: Cyprinus carpio (common carp)
Lineage: Eukaryota; Metazoa; Chordata; Actinopteri; Cypriniformes; Cyprinidae
Source: Ensembl